AAUAAGUUUUAUUCUUGCUUAUUUAUUUAUUUUUAAAUGAUAUUAUAUGUAUUAUUUUAUUAUUUAAUUUUCUAGAAGAUCAUUAAUUAUUUGUUUGCAGUAAUAAAUUUUAUAGAUUGAUAGGUGUUUGAUUUAGUUAUUAUAAUUAAGUGUUGAUAAAAUAUGUGCCAGCAGUCGCGGUUAGACAUAAAAUACAAGUAAAUAUUAUUAGUUUGUUAGUUAUUGUUUGGGUUUAAUAAUUUAUAUUGAUGGUUUUUGGGUAAAAUUUAAAUUUUUGUUUAUUUUAUUAUAUUGUUCUUAGAGGCUAUGAAAUCUAAUUUUAUAUAAACUAGGAUUAGAUACCCUAUUAUUUUGGAUUUAAAUUGUUCAUUCUUAGGUAGUAUUAGAUAUGGUCUUGAAACCUAAAGAAUUUGGCGGUAUUCUAGUCUUUUUAGAGGAAUCUGUCCCUUAAUCGAUAGUCCACGUUGAACCUUACUUGGUACAAAAUUUUAUAUGUAUAUCGCCGUUUUUGAAAAUCUUUUUAGAGAAUUUUCUUAAUAUUUAAUUAAAUAGAAAUUCAGGUCAAGGUGCAGUUUAUGAUCAAGUGGAGAUGGAUUACAUUAUAUUCAUUUAAACGGAUUGAAUCAUGUAAUUGAUUUGUGAAGGAGGAUUUAAUAGUAAUUAUUUAUAGAUUAUUAUUUUGAUUUUAGCUCUAGGGUGUGUACACAUCGCCCGUCACUCUCAUUAUUAAGAUGAGAUAAGUCGUAACAAAGUAGCUGUACCGGAAGGUGUAGCUAGAAUGCU
Molecule: non-coding RNA, 783 nt
Filed under: Panchlora nivea
Lineage: Eukaryota; Metazoa; Arthropoda; Insecta; Blattodea; Blaberidae
Description: 12S ribosomal RNA
Rfam family: Microsporidia small subunit ribosomal RNA (bases 375-776)
Source: RNAcentral